Molecule: long non-coding RNA, 311 nt
Organism: Armigeres subalbatus
Lineage: Eukaryota; Metazoa; Arthropoda; Insecta; Diptera; Culicidae
Exons: 3
Source: RefSeq, a predicted model, not a curated record
GUUAAGAGCUAAAAUUUAUUGAUUAAUAGCCUAGAGAAAACAGUUAAAAUACUCGCUCAUACUUCCAGAUAGUGCGAACUUAAAAGUAGAUACUAUCUUUGAAACUACGGGAACAUGCGUAAAAUUAACUAAACCUAAGACAAACACAUUUAGAACAGCAUUCCCAUCACCGAUCUAUAAGCUAAACGAAUAAGGAAAACGAACACAAUCGAGGCACUAAACGUAAGUUUAUCAAUUUUCUCUUAAAUUACAACUAAAAUUAUGAAACGGGAUAGUAUCACUCCUGAAAUACAAAUUGAAAAGUCUUAGCA